GCACAAACUCAAUCACUAACUGUGCAUGAUGUUAAAGAAGUGAGGAAAACCAGGUUUGCUAGAAUAAUUGCACCGACAGAACUGUAUUAACUUCAGAUCCUACUGAGUUUACCAAUUCUAUCCAAGUACAUUG
Molecule: small nucleolar RNA, 133 nt
Organism: Sorex araneus (European shrew)
Lineage: Eukaryota; Metazoa; Chordata; Mammalia; Eulipotyphla; Soricidae
Source: RefSeq, a predicted model, not a curated record